ACAUGCAAGUCGAGGGGUAACAAGUCUAGCUUGCUAGAUGUUGACGACCGGCGCACGGGUGCGCAACGCGUAUACAAUCUACCCCCUACUGUGGGAUAGCCCAGAGAAAUUUGGAUUAAGACCACAUAGUACUAUAUUACGGCAUCGUAUUUAUAGUUAAAGGUUACGGUAGGGGAUGAGUAUGCGUCCCAUUAGUUAGUUGGCGAGGUAACGGCUCACCAAGACCGCGAUGGGUAGGGGCCCUGAGAGGGGGGUCCCCCACACUGGUACUGAGACACGGACCAGACUCCUACGGGAGGCAGCAGUGAGGAAUAUUGGACAAUGGACGAGAGUCUGAUCCAGCCAUGCCGCGUGCAGGAAGAAUGCCCUAUGGGUAGUAAACUGCUUUUAUACGGGAAGAAAAAGAGCUACGUGUAGCUUACUGACGGUACCGUAAGAAUAAGGACCGGCUAACUCCGUGCCAGCAGCCGCGGUAAUACGGAGGGUCCGAGCGUUAUCCGGAAUUAUUGGGUUUAAAGGGUCCGUAGGCGGGCCGAUAAGUCAGUGGUGAAAGUUUGCAGCUCAACUGUAAAAUUGCCUUUGAUACUGUCGGUCUUGAGUUAUAGUGAAGUUGCCGGAAUAUGUAGUGUAGCGGUGAAAUGCAUAGAUAUUACAUAGAACACCGAUUGCGAAGGCAGGUGACUAACUAUAUACUGACGCUGAUGGACGAAAGCGUGGGGAGCGAACAGGAUUAGAUACCCUGGUAGUCCACGCCGUAAACGAUGGAUACUAGCUGUCCGGGUCCUUGAGACCUGGGCGGCCAAGCGAAAGUGAUAAGUAUCCCACCUGGGGAGUACGUUCGCAAGAAUGAAACUCAAAGGAAUUGACGGGGGCCCGCACAAGCGGUGGAGCAUGUGGUUUAAUUCGAUGAUACGCGAGGAACCUUACCAGGGCUUAAAUGCAUUUUGACAGGGGUAGAGAUACCUUUUCCUUCGGGCAAUUUGCAAGGUGCUGCAUGGUUGUCGUCAGCUCGUGCCGUGAGGUGUCAGGUUAAGUCCUAUAACGAGCGCAACCCCUACCGUUAGUUGCCAGCGAGUCAUGUCGGGGGACUCUAACGGGACUGCCGGUGCAAACCGUGAGGAAGGUGGGGACGACGUCAAAUCAUCACGGCCCUUACGUCCUGGGCCACACACGUGCUACAAUGGCCGGUACAGCGGGAAGCCAUGCGGUAACGCAGAGCGGAUCCACAAAACCGGUCACAGUUCGGAUCGGGGUCUGCAACUCGACCCCGUGAAGCUGGAAUCGCUAGUAAUCGGAUAUCAGCCAUGAUCCGGUGAAUACGUUCCCGGGCCUUGUACACACCGCCCGUCAAGCCAUGGAAGCUGGGAGUGCCUGAAGUCCGUCACCGUAAGGAGCGGCCUAGGGCAAGAUCGG
This 1413-nucleotide ribosomal RNA is filed under the name Zobellia laminariae. Its description in RNAcentral is "bacterial SSU rRNA". It matches the Rfam family "Bacterial small subunit ribosomal RNA". Lineage: Bacteria; Pseudomonadati; Bacteroidota; Flavobacteriia; Flavobacteriales; Flavobacteriaceae. The record is from RNAcentral.